Long non-coding RNA from Vespa mandarinia (Asian giant hornet), 480 nucleotides. Lineage: Eukaryota; Metazoa; Arthropoda; Insecta; Hymenoptera; Vespidae. The record is from RefSeq and is a predicted model, not a curated record.
GAUAUCGGAGAACAACCGUAACAACAAUUAAGCAUUGUCAUAGAUGCAAUGAAGGAAUAUCUUCAUCCAAGCACGAUGUACUUAUGGCUCGUUCUACUUGAUUUCCCAAAAUUUGAUUUCAUUGGAGACGAAUGAAGAAGAAGAAGAAAAAGAAGAAGAAAAAGAAGAAGAAAAAGAAGAAGAAGAAGAAGAAGAAGAAGAAGAAGAAGAAGAAGAAGAAAAAGAAGAAGAAGAAGAAGAUGUGAAUGUCUUUAAGAAGUGAAAGCAACGUUUCUUCGUUAACGUUUUUACGCGUCGCGUUAAGUAAUUAGCGUGUUCCUUUUUGAUGAGCAACUGCUUGCAUUUUACCGGUCGUAGUUUAAAUAAGAACUUCGUUCGUCUGUAGAAAAUAGAAGAAAGAGGUGAAAAACAAAAAAAGAAAAAUAAAAGAUGAAGAGAAAGAAAACAAAGAAAAAAAUAAAGAAAGCAAGAUAAAGAAGA